CCUACGGGUGGCAGCAGUAGGGAAUAUUGCACAAUGGGGGAAACCCUGAUGCAGCAACGCCGCGUGAGUGAAGAAGUUUUUCGGUAUGUAAAGCCCUAUCAGCAGGGAAGAAAAUGACGGUAUCUGACUAAGAAGCACCGGCUAACUACGUGCCAGCAGCCGCGGUAAUACGUAGGGGGCAAGCGUUAUCCGGAUUUACUGGGUGUAAAGGGAGCGUAGGCGGCAGCACAAGUCCGAUGUGAAAUGCCAGGGCUUAACCCCGGAACUGCUUUGGAAACUGUGCUGCUAGAGUGUAGGAGAGGUAAGUGGAAUUCCUGGUGUAGCGGUGAAAUGCGUAGAUAUUAAGAGGAACACGAGUUGCGAAGGCGGCUUACUGGACUGUAACUGACGUUGAGGCGCGAAAGCGUGGGGAGCAAACAGGAUUAGAUACCCCAGUAGUC
Molecule: ribosomal RNA, 440 nt
Filed under: uncultured bacterium
Lineage: Bacteria
Description: partial 16S ribosomal RNA
Rfam family: Bacterial small subunit ribosomal RNA
Source: RNAcentral